This 497-nucleotide ribosomal RNA is filed under the name uncultured bacterium. RNAcentral describes it as "partial 16S ribosomal RNA". It matches the Rfam family "Bacterial small subunit ribosomal RNA", at positions 28 to 507 of the family's 1533-position model. The record is from RNAcentral.
GAUGAACGCUGGCGGCGUGCCUAAUACAUGCAAGUCGAGCGAACACACGAGGAUCUUGCUCCUCUGACGUUAGCGACGGACGGGUGAGUAACACGUGGAUAACCUACCUAUAAGACUGGGAUAACUUCGGGAGACCGGAUCUAAUACCGGAUAAUAUAUUGAACCGCAUGGUUCAAUAGUGAAAGACGGUUUUGCUGUCACGUAUAGAUGGAUCCGCGCCGCAUUAGCUAGUUGGUAAGGUAACGGCUUACCAAGGCAACGAUGCGUAGCCGACCUGAGAGGGUGAUCGGCCACACUGGAACUGAGACACGGUCCAGACUCCUACGGGAGGCAGCAGUAGGGAAUCUUCCGCAAUGGGCGAAAGCCUGACGGAGCAACGCCGCGUGAGUGAUGAAGGUCUUCGGAUCGUAAAACUCUGUUAUUAGGGAAGAACAAAUGUGUAAGUAACUAUGCACGUCUUGACGGUACCUAAUCAGAAAGCCACGGCUAACUACGUG